RNAcentral lists this ribosomal RNA (253 nucleotides) under uncultured bacterium. RNAcentral describes it as "partial 16S ribosomal RNA". It matches the Rfam family "Bacterial small subunit ribosomal RNA", at positions 524 to 776 of the family's 1533-position model. The record is from RNAcentral.
UACGUAGGGUGCAAGCGUUAUCCGGAAUUAUUGGGCGUAAAGAGCUCGUAGGCGGUUUGUCGCGUCUGCUGUGAAAACUGGAGGCUCAACCUCCAGCCUGCAGUGGGUACGGGCAGACUAGAGUGCGGUAGGGGAGACUGGAAUUCCUGGUGUAGCGGUGAAAUGCGCAGAUAUCAGGAGGAACACCCGUAGCGAAGGCGGCACUCUGGGCCGGAACUGACGCUGAGGAGCGAAAGCGUGGGGAGCGAACAGG